GACGAACGCUGGCGGCGUGCUUAACACAUGCAAGUCGAGCGGUAAGGCCCUUUCGGGGGUACGACGAGCGGCGAACGGGUGAGUAACACGUGGGUGACCUGCCCUCAGCUCUGGGAUAAGCCUGGGAAACCGGGGUCUAAUACUGGAUAUGACUCCAUGGCGCAUGUUGUGGGGUGGAAAGCCUUGUGCGGCUGAGGAUGGGCCCGCGGCCUAUCAGCUUGUUGGUGGGGUGAUGGCCUACCAAGGCGACGACGGGUAGCCGGCCUGAGAGGGCGACCGGCCACACUGGGACUGAGACACGGCCCAGACUCCUACGGGAGGCAGCAGUGGGGAAUCUUGCGCAAUGGGCGAAAGCCUGACGCAGCGACGCCGCGUGAGGGAUGAC
This 385-nucleotide ribosomal RNA is filed under the name uncultured bacterium. RNAcentral's name for it is "bacterial SSU rRNA". It matches the Rfam family "Bacterial small subunit ribosomal RNA", at positions 28 to 412 of the family's 1533-position model. The record is from RNAcentral.